GACGAACGCUGGCGGCGUGCCUAAUACAUGCAAGUUGAGCGCUGAAGGUUGGUACUUGUACCAACUGGAUGAGCAGCGCACGGGUGAGUAACGCGUGGGGAAUCUGCCUUUGAGCGGGGGACAACAUUUGGAAACGAAUGCUAAUACCGCAUAAAAACUUUAAACACAAGUUUUAAGUUUGAAAGAUGCAAUUGCAUCACUCAAAGAUGAUCCCGCGUUGUAUUAGCUAGUUGGUGAGGUAAAGGCUCACCAAGGCGAUGAUACAUAGCCGACCUGAGAGGGUGAUCGGCCACAUUGGGACUGAGACACGGCCCAAACUCCUACGGGAGGCAGCAGUAGGGAAUCUUCGGCAAUGGACGAAAGUCUGACCGAGCAACGCCGCGUGAGUGAAGAAGGUUUUCGGAUCGUAAAACUCUGUUGGUAGAGAAGAACGUUGGUGAGAGUGGAAAGCGCAUCAAGUGACGGUAACUACCCAGAAAGGGACGGCAAACUACGU
This 496-nucleotide ribosomal RNA is filed under the name uncultured bacterium. Its description in RNAcentral is "partial 16S ribosomal RNA". It matches the Rfam family "Bacterial small subunit ribosomal RNA", at positions 28 to 506 of the family's 1533-position model. The record is from RNAcentral.